GGAGAGAUGUCCGAGUGGCUUAAGGAGCACGCUUGGAAAGCGUGUGUGCGGUUCCCGUACCGGGGGUUCGAAUCCCCCUCUCUCCG
Molecule: transfer RNA, 86 nt
Filed under: Phycisphaerae bacterium
Lineage: Bacteria; Pseudomonadati; Planctomycetota; Phycisphaerae
Description: tRNA-Ser
Rfam family: tRNA
About the family: Transfer RNA (tRNA) molecules are approximately 80 nucleotides in length. Their secondary structure includes four short double-helical elements and three loops (D, anti-codon, and T loops).
Source: RNAcentral